AUGCAUCCUCCUUUGACAUUGCACAAACACCCUAUGUGCACUGAAAUUAUUGAAGAGUUUCAAAAGUGUCAUGUGGAACACCCUAUUGCAAAAUUCUUUGGCGAAUGUACAGAUUUGAAAAUAAAAUUGGAUCGUUGCUUCAGAGCAGAAAAAGCUGUGAAGAGAAAGGCCAACUUUGAAAAGAGCAAAGAGUUGAAGGAACAGUUGCGAGUUUUCAGAAAAGAAAAUGCUGCAAACAGCAGUCAAUAG
Molecule: non-coding RNA, 249 nt
Organism: Vicia faba (fava bean)
Lineage: Eukaryota; Viridiplantae; Streptophyta; Magnoliopsida; Fabales; Fabaceae
Source: the annotation of a GenBank genome assembly